Molecule: ribosomal RNA, 331 nt
Filed under: uncultured bacterium
Lineage: Bacteria
Description: bacterial SSU rRNA
Rfam family: Bacterial small subunit ribosomal RNA
Source: RNAcentral
GACGAACGCUGGCGGCGUGCUUAACACAUGCAAGUCGAACGGAGUGCCCUUGAAAGAGGCUUCGGCCAAUGGAUGGGAACACUUAGUGGCGGACUGGUGAGUAACGCGUGAGGAACCUGCCUUUCUAGAGGGGGACGAACAGUUGGAAACGAACUGCUAAUACCGCAUGACACAUCGAGGGGGCGAUCCCUUUCGUAUGUCAAAGAUUUAUUCGCUGAAAGAUGGCCUCGCGUCCCAUUAGCUAGUUGGUGAGGUAACGGCCCACCAAGGCGACGAUGGGUAGCCGGACUGAGAGGUUGACCGGCCACAUUGGGACUGAGAUACGGCCCAG